This 401-nucleotide ribosomal RNA is filed under the name Anaplasma capra. RNAcentral describes it as "bacterial SSU rRNA". It matches the Rfam family "Bacterial small subunit ribosomal RNA", at positions 851 to 1248 of the family's 1533-position model. The record is from RNAcentral. Lineage: Bacteria; Pseudomonadati; Pseudomonadota; Alphaproteobacteria; Rickettsiales; Anaplasmataceae.
GCUAACGCGUUAAGCACUCCGCCUGGGGACUACGGUCGCAAGACUAAAACUCAAAGGAAUUGACGGGGACCCGCACAAGCGGUGGAGCAUGUGGUUUAAUUCGAUGCAACGCGAAAAACCUUACCACUUCUUGACAUGGAGGUUAGAUCUUUCUUAACAGAAAGGCGCAGUUCGGCUGGACCUCACACAGGUGCUGCAUGGCUGUCGUCAGCUCGUGUCGUGAGAUGUUGGGUUAAGUCCCGCAACGAGCGUAACCCUCAUCCUUAGUUACCAGCGGGUAAUGCCGGGCACUUUAAGGAAACUGCCGGUGAUAAACUGGAGGAAGGUGGGGAUGAUGUCAAGUCAGCACGGCCCUUAUGGGGUGGGCUACACACGUGCUACAAUGGCGACCACAAUAGGUU